UUAUCUCAGACAUGUGGUAGAAGAGUAGCAAGGAGACUUGAGACAAAGCAAAUUACCUAGGCUAACUUGUAUGUGUUAAAUGGUAACGACAUUUUCUUCUCCACUGUUUCUCCCUGCCUCGGAUGUGCUUAACUUGUAUCCAUACCAUGCAGCUCUUCAGCACUAAGCCUGUCCAGUCAGCAAGACACCUUAGUACUGUUGGUGUUGUGCCUACUGCAGCACGUGCUGAGCUCUACUUCACCCAACCAAUCCAUACAGACACUGCUGAGAAACAGGAACAAAACGUCAGGCAUCUUCAGUAAAGAAGUCCAGGUCCAAACAGGAUUGGGAAAAGUUAAGAAACCCAGCUAAGCUGCAUUUUAUAAUAAAACAGCACAAAAUCCAAUUGUGAAGAGGAGGUGGAAGAUGAUAUCUGCAAGAGAAAUGAAGACUAAAUAAUAGAACAGCUUCAAGGGCAGAGCUUACUGCAGAGCUGCAGGAUAGCUGAGGGGACUUCUACAGGAAGGAGGACUAGGAGGUUUUAUUUGAGCUGAGGUGAGCUUUGAGCCUCAGCACUGAGGUAUUUGGUAAAAUGGGAAGUGUUCUACUUUCUCCUUUUUUUUUCCUCCUGCUUUUGUUUAGCUGUAGCUAAUUGUCAAACAGGAGUGUCAUCUGGCAUAUUGACAAAAAACAAGUUUUAAAUGGCUGUGUUAUUUCCCAACACGUUUAAACAGAUUGCUCAACAUGGCAUGCAGUGCCUGUGGCAUGACAGGGAUCAGGGUGCACAGCCCACCACUCAGGUUAAUGCCUCGCGGUGGCUCCAUCUAAUGCAAGCUCUGCUGCUGGCUCCCCACCUGAUGUGCCCCUGGGAGCUUCUCGACAUCCUGUCCAAAUUUAGCAAAUUUUAUCUUAGAGGGAG
This is a long non-coding RNA of Oxyura jamaicensis (ruddy duck), 898 nucleotides long. RefSeq lists it as uncharacterized. The transcript has 4 exons. The record is from RefSeq and is a predicted model, not a curated record. Lineage: Eukaryota; Metazoa; Chordata; Aves; Anseriformes; Anatidae.